UCGGGAAUUUUGGGCAAUGGGCGAAAGCCUGACCCAGCAACGCCGCGUGAAGGAUGAAGUAUUUCGGUAUGUAAACUUCGAAAGAAUAGGAAGAAUAAAUGACGGUACUAUUUAUAAGGUCCGGCUAACUACGUGCCAGCAGCCGCGGUAAUACGUAGGGACCAAGCGUUGUUCGGAUUUACUGGGCGUAAAGGGCGCGUAGGCGGCAAUUCAAGUCAUCUGUGAAAUCUCCGGGCUUAACUCGGAACGGUCAGAUGAUACUGCUUUGCUAGAGUGCAGAAGGGGCAAUCGGAAUUCUUGGUGUAGCGGUGAAAUGCGUAGAUAUCAAGAGGAACACCUGAGGUGAAGACGGGUUGCUGGGCUGACACUGACGCUGAGGCGCGAAAGCAUGGGGAGCAAACAGGAUUAGAUACCCAUGUAGUCCCUGAGCGGGCUGGCAAGGCGCAU
RNAcentral lists this ribosomal RNA (447 nucleotides) under uncultured bacterium. RNAcentral's name for it is "bacterial SSU rRNA". It matches the Rfam family "Bacterial small subunit ribosomal RNA", at positions 355 to 825 of the family's 1533-position model. The record is from RNAcentral.